GGCAAAGCGGGCACGGGAGGAGGCUGGGGAUGAGAGGGCAGUGUCGGUUAAGUCGGAAGCGGAGUCUGGUGAGUCGGCGGAGGCUCAGAGCUGGGUUCUGUAGAGGCUGGCCAGAGUUGAAUAGGUUUGGUCUGCUUAUGUGUUAGUUUAUGAAGUUUUUAUGGUAAUUUGGUUGUAGUUUGGUCUAAACUAAUAUCUUAGUAGUAGGUUAUCAAAUGGAUUACUGAUCUUAAAUGAGAUGCUGUGGUGAGGAAAACUUUAUGGUGUUGUCGUGGAAGAAUUGGCUGCUCUUCU
RNAcentral lists this unclassified non-coding RNA (294 nucleotides) under Hevea brasiliensis (rubber tree). The record is from RNAcentral. Lineage: Eukaryota; Viridiplantae; Streptophyta; Magnoliopsida; Malpighiales; Euphorbiaceae.